RNAcentral lists this non-coding RNA (93 nucleotides) under unclassified sequences. The record is from RNAcentral.
GGGAAUGGAAAAUAAAAUCCAUUCCCUUUUUCUUUAAUGCAGCUUGGAAGAAAUUCCAAAUGGUCACAAGCCCAUAAAGAUGCAGAGUGGAGA